RNAcentral lists this transfer RNA (71 nucleotides) under Cnemaspis lineogularis. RNAcentral's name for it is "tRNA-Trp". The record is from RNAcentral. Lineage: Eukaryota; Metazoa; Chordata; Lepidosauria; Squamata; Gekkonidae.
AAAUUUAGGAUAAUCACUUAAACCAUGGGCCUUCAAAGCCUGAAACAAGAGCUCCCAAUCUCUUAAUUUCU